CAGUCGCCGCGGUAAUACGAAGGGUGCAAGCGUUACUCGGAAUUACUGGGCGUAAAGCGUGCGUAGGUGGUGGUUUAAGUCCGUUGUGAAAGCCCUGGGCUCAACCUGGGAAUUGCAGUGGAUACUGGGUCACUAGAGUGUGGUAGAGGAUAGUGGAAUUUCCGGUGUAGCAGUGAAAUGCGUAGAGAUCGGAAGGAACAUCUGUGGCGAAGGCGACUAUCUGGGCCAACACUGACACUGAGGCACGAAAGCGUAAGGAGCAAACAGGAUUAGAUACCCCGGUAGUCCCUGUCUCUUAUAC
Molecule: ribosomal RNA, 301 nt
Filed under: uncultured bacterium
Lineage: Bacteria
Description: partial 16S ribosomal RNA
Rfam family: Bacterial small subunit ribosomal RNA
Source: RNAcentral